Molecule: unclassified non-coding RNA, 832 nt
Filed under: Bradyrhizobium sp.
Lineage: Bacteria; Pseudomonadati; Pseudomonadota; Alphaproteobacteria; Hyphomicrobiales; Nitrobacteraceae
Description: partial 16S-23S ribosomal RNA intergenic spacer
Rfam family: tRNA (bases 163-236)
Source: RNAcentral
UGCUUCUAUCGAACCGUUUUAGAAACAUCAGUGGCCAACAGAUCGCCAGAUCGUUGAGCUGCAUUGGCGGGAUUUCGCCGUCUUCGUUUCUCUUUCUUCGCGGACGAACACGCGCUGGGCCUGCGACGCAGGAUCCAGGGUCCUUGACGGGAUAUGCGUUAGGGGCUUGUAGCUCAGUUGGUUAGAGCGCGCGCUUGAUAAGCGUGAGGUCGGAAGUUCAAGUCUUCCCAGGCCCACCACUUUCAUCGAGUGAGCAUUCGUCUUCUGGUUACGGGGCCAUAGCUCAGCUGGGAGAGCGCGUGCUUUGCAAGCAUGAGGUCGUCGGUUCGAUCCCGUCUGGCUCCACCAGAUGGUUUGAUCACCGAGAUCUUGUACCGUCGUCCGCGAAACAUCACUUCGCAUCCUGCUAGUCUGGAUAGACAGCAAGGUGCGUGUUUUCUGACAUCGUAAAGAGGAGAUCGAUCCGAGUUGGAUCGUGCAGCAGGUUGUUGCGCGAGCCUUCAUUAUCUCCGGAUCAUUUUCGGCGCUCGCUUUCGGCCGUGAGGUUGGAUGCGAGUUGUAAAAUGAUCCUUUUAGCGAAGCUUGACCGCCUCGCUAUCGGAACGAUCUUACGAAGCAAGCUGGUCUUUCUAGUCAAUGUCCGGCUGCAGAUAGCGUUCAUCGAGGGCGCGUGCCUUAGGGAUUUCGAUCUCUUGGCAAUUCUGCAGACAACAUUCUGCCGAGUGUGUGGACAUUGAUAAUGAGAGCAAUCAAGUGCCUUAAGGGUGUUCGGUGGAUGCCUUGGCGCUGAGAGGCGAUGAAGGACGUGCUACGCUGCGAUAAGCCGUGGGAG